GAAGUGUGGACGCCAGUCUGCAUGGAGCCGACCUUGAAAUACCACCCUUUAAUGUUUGAUGUUCUAACGUGGACCCGUGAUCCGGGUUGCGGACAGUGUCUGGUGGGUAGUUUGACUGGGGCGGUCUCCUCCUAAAGAGUAACGGAGGAGCACGAAGGUUGGCUAAUCCUGGUCGGACAUCAGGAGGUUAGUGCAAUGGCAUAAGCCAGCUUGACUGCGAGCGUGACGGCGCGAGCAGGUGCGAAAGCAGGUCAUAGUGAUCCGGUGGUUCUGAAUGGAAGGGCCAUCGCUCAACGGAUAAAAGGUACUCCGGGGAUAACAGGCUGAUACCGCCCAAGAGUUCAUAUCGACGGCGGUGUUUGGCACCUCGAUGUCGGCUCAUCACAUCCUGGGGCUGAAGUAGGUCCCAAGGGUAUGGCUGUUCGCCAUUUAAAGUGGUACGCGAGCUGGGUUUAGAACGUCGUGAGACAGUUCGGUCCCUAUCUGCCGUGGGCGCUGGAGAAUUGAGGGGGGCUGCUCCUAGUACGAGAGGACCGGAGUGGACGCAUCACUGGUGUUCGGGUUGUCAUGCCAAUGGCACUGCCCGGUAGCUAAAUGCGGAAGAGAUAAGUGCUGAAAGCAUCUAAGCACGAAACUUGCCCCGAGAUGAGUUCUCCCUGACUCCUUGAGAGUCCUGAAGGAACGUUGAAGACGACGACGUUGAUAGGCCGGGUGUGUAAGCGCAGCGAUGCGUUGAGCUAACCGGUACUAAUGAACCGUGAGG
Molecule: ribosomal RNA, 763 nt
Filed under: Escherichia coli
Lineage: Bacteria; Pseudomonadati; Pseudomonadota; Gammaproteobacteria; Enterobacterales; Enterobacteriaceae
Description: partial 23S ribosomal RNA
Rfam family: Bacterial large subunit ribosomal RNA
Source: RNAcentral